Molecule: ribosomal RNA, 467 nt
Filed under: uncultured bacterium
Lineage: Bacteria
Description: partial 16S ribosomal RNA
Rfam family: Bacterial small subunit ribosomal RNA
Source: RNAcentral
GACGAACGCUGGCGGCGUGCUUAAUACAUGCAAGUCGAACGGAAAGGCCCUGCUUUUGUGGGGUGCUCGAGUGGCGAACGGGUGAGUAACACGUGAGUAACCUGCCCUUGACUUUGGGAUAACUUCAGGAAACUGGGGCUAAUACCGGAUAGGAGCUCCUGCUGCAUGGUGGGGGUUGGAAAGUUUCGGCGGUUGGGGAUGGACUCGCGGCUUAUCAGCUUGUUGGUGGGGUAGUGGCUUACCAAGGCUUUGACGGGUAGCCGGCCUGAGAGGGUGACCGGCCACAUUGGGACUGAGAUACGGCCCAGACUCCUACGGGAGGCAGCAGUGGGGAAUAUUGCACAAUGGGCGGAAGCCUGAUGCAGCAACGCCGCGUGCGGGAUGACGGCCUUCGGGUUGUAAACCGCUUUCGCCUGUGACGAAGCGUGAGUGACGGUAAUGGGUAAAGAAGCACCGGCGAACUACGU